UCGAGUUUGAUCCUGGCUCAGAAUCAACGCUGGCGGCGUGCCUAACACAUGCAAGUCGAACGCGAAAGGGGCUUCGGCCCUGAGUAGAGUGGCGAACGGGUGAGUAACACGUGGGUGACCUACCCUCGAGUGGGGGAUAACAUCCCGAAAGGGGUGCUAAUACCGCAUGACAUCCUGUCUUUGAACAGAUGGACAUUAAAGCCGGGGAUCGCAAGACCUGGCGCUCGAGGAGGGGCUCGCGUCCGAUUAGCUAGUUGGUGGGGUAAUGGCCUACCAAGGCGACGAUCGGUAGCCGGCCUGAGAGGGCGGACGGCCACACUGGGACUGAGACACGGCCCAAACUCCUACGGGAGGCAGCAGUGGGGAAUUGUUCGCAAUGGGCGCAAGCCUGACGACNCAACGCCGCGUGGAGGACGAAGAUCUUCGGGGC
This 430-nucleotide ribosomal RNA is filed under the name uncultured Acidobacteriota bacterium. RNAcentral's name for it is "bacterial SSU rRNA". It matches the Rfam family "Bacterial small subunit ribosomal RNA", at positions 1 to 424 of the family's 1533-position model. Lineage: Bacteria; Pseudomonadati; Acidobacteriota. The record is from RNAcentral.